This 207-nucleotide ribosomal RNA is filed under the name uncultured bacterium. RNAcentral's name for it is "partial 16S ribosomal RNA". It matches the Rfam family "Bacterial small subunit ribosomal RNA", at positions 568 to 774 of the family's 1533-position model. The record is from RNAcentral.
CGUGUAGGCGGCUGAAUAAGUGGGAUGUUAAAUCCCCGGGCUCAACCCGGGAACUGCAUCUCAUACUGUUCAGCUCGAGCACAUCAGAGGAGACUGGAAUUCCCGGUGUAGCGGUGAAAUGCGUAGAUGUCGGGAGGAACACCAGUGGCGAAGGCGAGUCUCUGGGAUGAUGCUGACGCUGAGGCGCGAAAGCCAGGGGAGCAAACG